This 1392-nucleotide long non-coding RNA is filed under the name Mus musculus (house mouse). RNAcentral describes it as "predicted gene, 48975". The record is from RNAcentral. Lineage: Eukaryota; Metazoa; Chordata; Mammalia; Rodentia; Muridae.
GGCAAUGGCGGCAGACUUGGUAGUGUGUAAGUCACCCAAGGAGAUUGAUUUUAAAGGCAUGAAGGGGGUCAUGGAGAACAGCUGAGGCUUGGCACUGUCAGAGGCCAAGAGAGAAGCCAGUUUGAAUCAGUCAGCUUGGAGAGGAGUUUGAGCCAGAACAGCUAAGUUGAACCAGCCAGGCAGACGUUGUUGGGGUUGGUCUGGUGCUGCUGUGUACUGUAUCCCAAGGUCUGAUUACCCCAAGAUGAGCUAAUUCCCACCUACCUACGCCAGCUUUUGUUGUGUAAACCUUGCCCCCACCCCCAAGCUAUCCCUGAUUGGUUAAUAAAGAUGCCUACAGCCUGGCCUGGGCAGAAGAGAAGUAGGUGAAGCUUCAGGAGGCAAAAAUGACAUUCAAGUCAAAACCACUCGGUAGCCGGUGUUGGUUAAACUUCAAGAGUUGUUUAUUUCAGGGCGUCUUUAAACGCAGCACAGUCUGGUAAAACUUCUUAGGAAGUCAGCUCAGUCCCAUGUGCACAGCAAAGCACACCUAAUCUCUCUGAGAAAGAAAACAAGCUGAAUACAGAUCAGACGUGGCUGCAUCCAAGUGCUUUAUAAGUGUAUGUGACACCUUCCGUACAGACAGAUUGACUGAGAAACAAGUUUAUGACAAUGGGUCCGGAGGAGGGUCCCAUCCAAGAAGUCUUCAGCCACACACACUGCCCAACAGUCAGCAGGCUAGAAAGUACACCCACUCCAGCCUUCUGGGCAGAAAGAAGACAGAACAGCCAAGCGUGCCUAACAUUCCAGGUUAGUGCAUGUCUGUGAGCACAGACACCCCCAUGCCCCUUACAGUGUUCUGACUUCCAUGUGUAUACCACGGCAUGCACACACCCAUAUUUCCACACCACAUAGGCACACACACACAUACACAGAUGGGAAAUUCUUAAAAAUGUGUUGUCGGGUAUCCACCAUAGAAGACUAUUCAGACAUGGUUUAAGCCAAUAAAAAGUCUUUAAUCCCAGUGUAGCACCGACCCUUUCUCAGGUUGAGUUUUUAAGGACAAAACACAGAUCCUAGGUUGACUUCCUUCAGUUGCCACGAACAGUUAGUCAGAAACAGAGCUACAGAAGCCAAAAAUCAAGGCUGUGUUCCAGUUAGUCCAACAAUGGUUGUCUACAAAUGGAAGGGCCAAGAAUCCUUGUUGAGUCUAUGAAGCUGAGUGUCUCAGCUGGUCUUCAAUGUAUGGCAGAAUCCUGAAGAAGGGCACUCACAAGAGAGGAAAAGAAAGAGAUGGUCCCAGGAGCCAGAUCUCUGAAUUCGAGGCCAGCCUGGUCUACAAAGUGAGUUCCAAGACAGCCAGGGCUAUACAGAGAAACCCUGUCUCGGAAAAGAAAAGAAAAGAAAAGAGAA